RNAcentral lists this ribosomal RNA (107 nucleotides) under uncultured Glomus. RNAcentral describes it as "partial 18S ribosomal RNA". The record is from RNAcentral. Lineage: Eukaryota; Fungi; Glomeromycota; Glomeromycetes; Glomerales; Glomeraceae.
GCCUCGAUCGAGUUCGAGACUGCACAGUUCUGUUCUGAGAAGUUGUUAACUGUCAUUAGAGAAGUAAAGUCGUACCAAGGUUCCGUAGUGACCUGCGGAAGAUCAUA